UGCUUAAGGCUAGCUAACACUCUACCACUGGAGCCAUAUUCCCAGAGGUUUUAAUCCUUCUUUUCUAUAGUCAUUUAGCUUUGGGCCUGAGGCAGUGUAGUACAUCUUGGCAGUAAUUUUUGACCAUGGAGUCUACUUACCCCUAGUCUCCGGAAAGCAAACAAGGCAGGAUUUAGGUACUAACAUUCCCUUAGGGCCAAGCUUCCAGUGACCUGACUUCUCCUAUAGUGCUUUAUACCAUGAUACAACAGCACCAAAGGCUAAAGAGCAAACCUUUCAUUCUUUGGCCUUUGGGGGAUGCUUUGGAUCUACCUUCCAGCACCGGGGUUCAGUAUGGUUGGCAAUGAAUUCUGAUGAUAGUAUUGGUAUUUAGGGUAAAAAUACAAACAGGCCAAUCCCUGGCCUUUAAUACUCUCAAUUUAGAAGAUAAAAGUAAAGUGAGAAAAACUAUAGUGAUUUUAUAAAUUUGUUCUUUGAGUCUAGGUUCACUGUAGAUACAACCAAGUUUUAUAUAUGUAGCAAAUCAUGUUUUUUUAUAUUUCCUAGUAUGAGGGGUUGUUUUUUUCUCUCAUAAAGACCUAAGGAAUGCAAUGGCUUUCAGAACACAGGAGGGCUUGGGAGAAGGGAGAAGGGAGAAGGGAGAAAAAAAAUAACUGGACAAUUUCUGUUGCCACAAGGUUCUUAGCUCUAUGCUGAUGACUCAACUAGAAGAUACUGUAAGUGAGAAUACUAAGGAACAGUAACCAAGGAAGGAAGGAAUUCAGCUUGGGUCUACUUGACUCAAAGUUAUAAUUUUAUGACAGUUGGUAAAGAAAAGAAGUUAGAAGACAGGUGUAAGAAAAUGCCCAUGUUGGGGCACUGUAUUAAAG
Perognathus longimembris pacificus (Pacific pocket mouse) is the source of this 869-nucleotide long non-coding RNA. RefSeq lists it as uncharacterized. The transcript is spliced from 2 exons. The record is from RefSeq and is a predicted model, not a curated record. Lineage: Eukaryota; Metazoa; Chordata; Mammalia; Rodentia; Heteromyidae.